AAACUUUCUACAGUUUCAACAUGGCAAACUACAGUAGAGGUGACAUCAUAUGUAUCAUUCAUUCAUCCAACGAUUAAGUUUAAUGCGGAACCAACAUCCACGCCGUAAGCUAGCCCAGAAUGGAUUAAUGCGUAUUUUCACGUGUGUUUAUGUAAUAACAGGAAUGUUGUUGUUCCUCCUUGUCUGCCUUGUGUCUGCAGCAAUUGCAGAUCCAAUGAGAUCAACCAUUACCGGCAGCAUGGCAUCAAUACAAAUACCACCAUAGACAUUUAGCAGCGAAACAGAGGCAAGAUAGAAACAAGAACCAAAUGGAUAAUAAAACUCCUUAACUAUCAAA
Molecule: unclassified non-coding RNA, 337 nt
Filed under: Penaeus chinensis
Lineage: Eukaryota; Metazoa; Arthropoda; Malacostraca; Decapoda; Penaeidae
Description: uncharacterized LOC125038259, transcript variant X1
Source: RNAcentral